Ochotona princeps (American pika) is the source of this 431-nucleotide unclassified non-coding RNA. Its record names the gene Telomerase-vert. It matches the Rfam family "Vertebrate telomerase RNA". From Rfam's summary of the family: Telomerase is a ribonucleoprotein reverse transcriptase that synthesises telomeric DNA. Telomerase RNAs differ greatly in sequence and structure between vertebrates, ciliates and yeasts, but they share a 5' pseudoknot structure close to the template sequence. The record is from Ensembl. NCBI's taxonomy places the organism in Eukaryota, Metazoa, Chordata, Mammalia, Lagomorpha, Ochotonidae.
UGGGCCCGGAGGCGGCUGGCCUGUUUGUCUAACCCUAACACAGAGUGGCACAGGCGCCGCGCUUUUGUUUCCCCGCGCGCUGUUUUUCUCGCUGACUUUCAGCGCGUGGAAAAAGCCUUGGCCUGCUGCCGUGCACCGUUUCUUUGAGAACAAACAAAAAAUGUCAGCCGCUGGCCAGUUCGCUCCUUCCGGGAACCUGCGGUGGCUAGCCCGCCCGACCCCCGUGCCCGCCUGAGGCCGCGGUCGGUCCGGGGCUUUUCUGAAGUACCCAUUGCCGCCGCGAAGAGUUAGGCUCUGUCAGCCGCGGGUCCCUCGGGGUUUGAGGGCGAGGCACAGGCCGUCUGGACGCAGGGAGAGCAACGGAGCGGGUCCCCGAGUGUGGUGUGCUUCCCUGAGCUGUGGGACUUGCAUCCGGGACUGCUCCAACAAGC